CCUACGGGUGGCAUCAGUGAGGAAUAUUGGUCAAUGGGCGGAAGCCUGAACCAGCCAAGUCGCGUGAGGGAUGAAGGCCCUGCGGGUCGUAAACCUCUUUUGCCGGGGAGCAGUGGUCCGGACGCGUCCGGACCGGGAGAGUACCCGGAGAAAAAGCAUCGGCUAACUCCGUGCCAGCAGCAGCGGUAAUACGGAGGAUGCGAGCGUUCUGCGGAUUUAUUGGGUUUAAAGGGUGCGUAGGCGGGCAUUUAAGCCGGCGGGCAAAUUCCGGGGCUCAACCCCGGCCUGCCGUCGGAACUGGGGUGCUUGAGUGGGCGAGAAGUAUGCGGAAGGCGUGGUGUAGCGGUGAAAUGCAUAGAUAUCACGCAGAACCCCGAUUGCGAAGGCAGCAUACCGGCGCACUACUGACGCUGAGGCACGAAAGUGCGGGUAUCGAACAGGAUUAGAUACCCGUGUAGUC
Molecule: ribosomal RNA, 460 nt
Filed under: uncultured bacterium
Lineage: Bacteria
Description: partial 16S ribosomal RNA
Rfam family: Bacterial small subunit ribosomal RNA
Source: RNAcentral